CAUCACCACAAUAGUGUGGCUCUGAAGUGUCUCUUUUGUUCCCUGCAAUGAGAUUUCAAUUCCACUCAGAAAAGAAACUGAGAUCAGUUCUAAUGUAUGCUCCUCAAGAAGGAAAGCUCUGAGUUAAAUUAAAGGGGAAACAUUUCUGCUGUGAACUCCGGAGCUGCUGGAACAAGUUUAAUGCCCAAAUGAGGUGUCUAAAGGCCUAAGUCUCCUUUUGUUUAUAAAGGCUGGGACCAGUCUUGAAAAGGUUGCAUUCUUCAGGAGAGCUGCCAAACUGCUCAUCAAAGCACCUCAAAACAUGAGCUGAACCUAUCAGGUUUUCCACAGUCAGGAUCCGACUCCAUGACUUGAAGUGUGCCUUUAUCUCCAUGAAAUUCAGACCCAUGACACCAAGAAAAGGAGGAGAAAAGCAGCAGCUGCCCCGAAAUGGGGAGUAACUGACACA
Passer domesticus (house sparrow) is the source of this 448-nucleotide long non-coding RNA. RefSeq lists it as uncharacterized. The record is from RefSeq and is a predicted model, not a curated record. Lineage: Eukaryota; Metazoa; Chordata; Aves; Passeriformes; Passeridae. The transcript is spliced from 3 exons.